UAACACUAACUGGAGGACCGAACCGACUAAUGUUGAAAAAUUAGCGGAUGACCUGUGGCUGGGGGUGAAAGGCCAAUCAAACCGGGAGAUAGCUGGUUCUCCCCGAAAGCUAUUUAGGUAGCGCCUCGUGAAUUCAUCUCCGGGGGUAGAGCACUGUUUCGGCUAGGGGGCCAUCCCGGCUUACCAACCCGAUGCAAACUGCGAAUACCGGAGAAUGUUAUCACGGGAGACACACGGCGGGUGCUAACGUCCGUCGUGAAGAGGGAAACAACCCAGACCGCCAGCUAAGGUCCCAAAGUCAUAGUUAAGUGGGAAACGAUGUGGGAAGGCCCAGACAGCCAGGAUGUUGGCUUAGAAGCAGCCAUCAUUUAAAGAAAGCGUAAUAGCUCACUGGUCGAGUCGGCCUGCGCGGAAGAUGUAACGGGGCUAAACUAUGCACCGAAGCUGCGGCAGCGACACUAUGUGUUGUUGGGUAGGGGAGCGUUCUGUAAGCCUGUGAAGGUGUGUCGUGAGGCAUGCUGGAGGUAUCAGAAGUGCGAAUGCUGACAUAAGUAACGAUAAAGCGGGUGAAAAGCCCGCUCGCCGGAAGACCAAGGGUUCCUGUCCAACGUUAAUCGGGGCAGGGUGAGUCGACCCCUAAGGCGAGGCCGAAAGGCGUAGUCGAUGGGAAACGGGUUAAUAUUCCCGUACUUGGUGUUACUGCGAAGGGGGGACGGAGAAGGCUAUGUUGGCCGGGCGACGGUUGUCCCGGUUUAAGCGUGUAGGUGUGUGUUCCAGGUAAAUCCGGUUCACUUUAACACUGAGGCGUGAUGACGAGGCACUACGGUGCUGAAGCAACAAAUGCCCUGCUUCCAGGAAAAGCCUCUAAGCAUCAGGUAACAUCAAAUCGUACCCCAAACCGACACAGGUGGUCAGGUAGAGAAUACCAAGGCGCUUGAGAGAACUCGGGUGAAGGAACUAGGCAAAAUGGUGCCGUAACUUCGGGAGAAGGCACGCUGACACGUAGGUGAAGUGAUUUACUCAUGGAGCUGAAGUCAGUCGAAGAUACCAGCUGGCUGCAACUGUUUAUUAAAAACACAGCACUGUGCAAACACGAAAGUGGACGUAUACGGUGUGACGCCUGCCCGGUGCCGGAAGGUUAAUUGAUGGGGUCAGCGCAAGCGAAGCUCCUGAUCGAAGCCCCGGUAAACGGCGGCCGUAACUAUAACGGUCCUAAGGUAGCGAAAUUCCUUGUCGGGUAAGUUCCGACCUGCACGAAUGGCGUAAUGAUGGCCAGGCUGUCUCCACCCGAGACUCAGUGAAAUUGAACUCGCUGUGAAGAUGCAGUGUACCCGCGGCAAGACGGAAAGACCCCGUGAACCUUUACUAUAGCUUGACACUGAACAUUGAGCCUUGAUGUGUAG
RNAcentral lists this ribosomal RNA (1403 nucleotides) under Salmonella enterica. RNAcentral describes it as "partial 23S ribosomal RNA". It matches the Rfam family "Bacterial large subunit ribosomal RNA", at positions 757 to 2141 of the family's 2925-position model. The record is from RNAcentral. Lineage: Bacteria; Pseudomonadati; Pseudomonadota; Gammaproteobacteria; Enterobacterales; Enterobacteriaceae.